UGAAGCUCGAAAGUGCGGGUAUCGAACAGGAUUAGAUACCCUGGUAGUCCGCACGGUAAACGAUGGAUGCCCGCUUUUCGGUCAUAGGACCGUGAGGNCNAAGUGAAAACAUUAAGCAUCCCACCUGGGGAGUACGCCGGCAACGGUGAAACUCAAAGGAAUUGACGGGGGNCCGCACAAGCGGAGGAACAUGUGGUUUAAUUCGAUGAUACGCGAGGAACCUUACCCGGGCUUGAAUUGCAGAUGAAGGAUCCAGAGAUGGUGACGCCCUUCGGGGCAUCUGUGAAGGUGCUGCAUGGUUGUCGUCAGCUCGUGCCGUGAGGUGUCGGCUCAAGUGCCAUAACGAGCGCAACCCCUCUCUUCAGUUGCCAUCAGGUAAAGCUGGGCACUCUGGAGACACUGCCACCGCAAGGUGUGAGGAAGGUGGGGAUGACGUCAAAUCAGCACGGCCCUUACGUCCGGGGCUACACACGUGUUACAAUGGGGGGUACAGCAAGCCGGCUGCCCGCAAGGUCAGUCCAAUCAAGAAAGCCCUCCUCAGUUCGGACUGGGGUCUGCAACCCGACCCCACGAAGCUGGAUUCGCUAGUAAUCGCGCAUCAGCCAUGGCGCGGUGAAUACGUUCCCGGGCCUUGUACACACCGCCCGUCAAGCCAUGAAAGCCGGGGGUGCCUGAAGUCCGUGACCGCAAGGAUCGGCCUAGGGCAAAACUGGUAAUUGGGGCUAAGUCGUAACAAGGUAGCCG
This 744-nucleotide ribosomal RNA is filed under the name uncultured bacterium. RNAcentral describes it as "bacterial SSU rRNA". It matches the Rfam family "Bacterial small subunit ribosomal RNA", at positions 747 to 1502 of the family's 1533-position model. The record is from RNAcentral.